UUUGUGUGUUGGAUUAUCUUUGAAACAGAUAUUCAUUGACGGCAGAAUGACUCAAUGCCAUAUUUUCUCACAAACGAUAACGGUCACGAUUAGAUGAUGCUGGGUUAUGCUGUGCUACUGAGACAUCGGCUGGAGAAAAACACAGACAUCAACAACUCUGAGCUGGAAAGCGAUGGAGGGCAAUUGGACACAAUCAUCUGCUUUAUUUUGUGUAAAUAGUGUGGAAACAUGAUUUUCAGCAUGGCUAGCAAAGCAUGUAUGGACAAGUUUGUAAGAGCGUAUUUAUACACCACCCCAGGCAUGGCUUUGUGGAUCUGAGACUACUUGUGAAUUUGCACAAACCAUACAGCAGAAAAACUAUGAAUCUUCUGUAAAGAUACAGAUGUUCGAAAUGCCAAGCUUUGAAAACAACAGGAUCACAACCUCUACAUUUCAGGAAAGAGAACAAGUCUGGAUUUAAAUCACCCGUAUCUUCUGUUGUGGCAUCGGACACCUGAUACCUUGGACACAGCUUCCUUGUGAGCAGUCCAGAAUUAAUCAGUGUUCACACAGGUGAAAAACUCCUUCGGAGUCAGUUGAGUUAGAAUAAGAGGCUCCACUCAGGGCUGGUUGCUUUUUGAGCCCCUAAAACACACUCUUUUUGGCAGCGGAGUCUGGGGAGAGAUGUUUUUGUGUGAUCUGUCACUAGGAUGUAAGGUCCUAGAGAGCAGAAAUGUGAUGGGACCCCGGCACAGCCCUAGCAUCAAGAACAGUGCAAGGUACACAGUACAUGCUCAGUGAAUGUUCUAUACAAUGCUUUCAAUUGAAAAUUUUGUUUUUAUUUUAAUACUUAGUUCCUGCUUAUAAAAUAAAUCAGUUCAUUAUAGAAAUUUGGAAAAAACUUAAAACCUUAAGGAGAAUAUAAAAAUUAUGAAUGAUCAUCGUCAACUUUUUCAGUUAAUGUGUGAGUGUUUUUAUAAAAAUGGUUUGGUGCAUGUGUGUGCGUGUGUGUGCAUUCACAUGCAUGAGUGUGUACACGAGAGAAUCACUGAACUUAUGUGCGUAAAGUUUUUGGCAACAUAUCGUGAGUUUUUUCUCAUAUGAUUAAAUUCUUUGGAACCAUGAUUGUUAGUGGUUACAUAAUUUUCAACCAUGUAGAUUUACCAUAAUUUGUUGGGCAUGUACCCUAUCAGGGACCAUUAAGGUGGUUUUACUUAGCUAUUUUUGGUAAAAAUAAAUAAUACAAUUAAGAAUGUCUUUAUAUGUUAGUCUUUUGACAUGACUAAUUAUACCCUUAGGAUAACUUCUCUUUGAAAUGAUUAUAGAAAUUUAUAGUGAAAUAAAAAUUUUCAGGAAUAC
This is a long non-coding RNA of Neofelis nebulosa (Clouded leopard), 1338 nucleotides long. RefSeq lists it as uncharacterized. Lineage: Eukaryota; Metazoa; Chordata; Mammalia; Carnivora; Felidae. The transcript is spliced from 3 exons. The record is from RefSeq and is a predicted model, not a curated record.